Molecule: ribosomal RNA, 662 nt
Filed under: Escherichia coli
Lineage: Bacteria; Pseudomonadati; Pseudomonadota; Gammaproteobacteria; Enterobacterales; Enterobacteriaceae
Description: bacterial SSU rRNA
Rfam family: Bacterial small subunit ribosomal RNA
Source: RNAcentral
GCCUGGGGAGUACGGCCGCAAGGUUAAAACUCAAAUGAAUUGACGGGGGCCCGCACAAGCGGUGGAGCAUGUGGUUUAAUUCGAUGCAACGCGAAGAACCUUACCUGGUCUUGACAUCCACAGAACUUUCCAGAGAUGGAUUGGUGCCUUCGGGAACUGUGAGACAGGUGCUGCAUGGCUGUCGUCAGCUCGUGUUGUGAAAUGUUGGGUUAAGUCCCGCAACGAGCGCAACCCUUAUCCUUUGUUGCCAGCGGUCCGGCCGGGAACUCAAAGGAGACUGCCAGUGAUAAACUGGAGGAAGGUGGGGAUGACGUCAAGUCAUCAUGGCCCUUACGACCAGGGCUACACACGUGCUACAAUGGCGCAUACAAAGAGAAGCGACCUCGCGAGAGCAAGCGGACCUCAUAAAGUGCGUCGUAGUCCGGAUUGGAGUCUGCAACUCGACUCCAUGAAGUCGGAAUCGCUAGUAAUCGUGGAUCAGAAUGCCACGGUGAAUACGUUCCCGGGCCUUGUACACACCGCCCGUCACACCAUGGGAGUGGGUUGCAAAAGAAGUAGGUAGCUUAACCUUCGGGAGGGCGCUUACCACUUUGUGAUUCAUGACUGGGGUGAAGUCGUAACAAGGUAACCGUAGGGGAACCUGCGGUUGGAUCACCUCCUUA